Camellia sinensis is the source of this 1040-nucleotide non-coding RNA. NCBI's taxonomy places the organism in Eukaryota, Viridiplantae, Streptophyta, Magnoliopsida, Ericales, Theaceae. The record is from RefSeq and is a predicted model, not a curated record.
UGUACGCCUUUCUUCUAGAUCACAAGGAGAUUAUAUAGAUGAACACAAAAUCGAUAAAAAAAAUUUCGCUACCAAUUUACCUAGGUUGCAAAGCAUUCUUCAUCGCCAUUCAGAUGGGAUACAAGGAGUUGCUAUGGAUGAUCAAGGCUCACUAGUAACUAAAGGACCAAGUUUAGCUCCUCUGCUUGGUAUAGAUGUUUGGGAGGAUGCAUACUACUUGCAGUACAAAAAUGUUAGUCUGGACUACCUGAAGAAUAUUUGGAAAGUUCUGAACUGGAAAUAUGCCAGUGAAUUGUAUGAAAAAGAGUGCCCUUGAACGAACUCUCCAUCAGAAUUGGUUUUGCAGAGACGGUGUUUAUGCUUCUGUUGGUUUUUGAGAGCAAAUAAAAUGGUGUUACAUAGCUGAGGGGGCUCAUGUUUCAAAUGCGGGCCUUAUCAAAAAAUAAAAAAAGAAGAAAGAAAUAAAAAUAUUUUUACGACAUUUUUUUCUUCUUUCUUAUGUUUUCCAUGUGUAAAAAUCAAUAAACAUGUUUUAUGACCUCUGCUGUUCUAUAGUUCUCCAAUUAGCGUCUGGCAAACUAUCCCUUUUCAACCCUUGUGUACCCAAACCUCCUGGAGAUUGCACAUGUCAUGAUUUAAUUGCAAUGGUUGAUGUUUGUUCUGCAUUACAUAGAGAAUUAGAAUGAGAUAUCGAAUUGUGAUGGCAAAUGUGUCCAUAAAGGUAUUGCCGUGCUUAUCAGAUGCUUUGAGAUAUGAAAUCACUGGUGAAGCAAGGAAUCACUGGCGUGUGCACAUGACUCAAAACUGAAGACAACCGCUUAUUGAAGUAAUUUUAUCUUACACGAAAUCGUAUUUCAAAUGAAUCAAAUUUUGUGAGUGUAAAUAGUUUUUUGAGCUCAGUUAGUUGCAGUUCUUUUUUAUCAAAUGGACUAUUGUAUGGAAGAAAUGACUAGGUGUUUUAGCUCGGUUAAUUGGGAAGGAUGAGGAUGGUUUUGUCAGUUGUUGAAGCAUUUUUGGCAUUUAUGAUGACUUUUCAGAUU